CAGUCGCCACGGUAAUACGGAGGGUGCAAGCGUUAAUCGGAAUUACUGGGCGUAAAGCGCACGCAGGCGGUUUGUUAAGUCAGAUGUGAAAUCCCCGAGCUUAACUUGGGAACUGCAUUUGAAACUGGCAAGCUAGAGUCUUGUAGAGGGGGGUAGAAUUCCAGGUGUAGCGGUGAAAUGCGUAGAGAUCUGGAGGAAUACCGGUGGCGAAGGCGGCCCCCUGGACAAAGACUGACGCUCAGGUGCGAAAGCGUGGGGAGCAAACAGGAUUAGAUACCCCGGUAGUCCCUGUCUCUUAUAC
This 301-nucleotide ribosomal RNA is filed under the name uncultured bacterium. Its description in RNAcentral is "partial 16S ribosomal RNA". It matches the Rfam family "Bacterial small subunit ribosomal RNA", at positions 509 to 807 of the family's 1533-position model. The record is from RNAcentral.